RNAcentral lists this small RNA (440 nucleotides) under Arabidopsis thaliana (thale cress). RNAcentral's name for it is "putative long intergenic non-coding RNA". Lineage: Eukaryota; Viridiplantae; Streptophyta; Magnoliopsida; Brassicales; Brassicaceae. The record is from RNAcentral.
GUCCUAGUUCAUUAGUGUAUUUUUCUUGUUUGUUUAAUAGUACCACUCUCUAUAUGUAGUGUUAGUUGUAGGGCUUAGGUUUUGGUUGAUAUAUUUCUGCAUUUGAGUUAUAUGUUUUAAGGUUUAAUUUCUCUUUAAGUAAAACGAAUUUCAGGUAUUAUUAGGAUCUUUUUUGGUAUGAAAGAAGCCUGUCCCCUAGACCAUGUUAGGUGGACUACAACACGUUUUUUUUCCUCACUCUGGAAAAGACAAAAGAGAUUCUCCUUUUUGACAUUUUUGCUACACUUGUCAAGAUUUUAAUUUGAUAGACAGUAAAAGAUGUAUAAAAAUGUACUCAGAAUUGUAGAAUCAUUUCUAUAUCAAAUCUCCACGUCUCAUACUUACUUUAAACAAAAGUUGAAGCAUAUUGAAAGAAAAUCGAUCCAAUUUAAACAUUCUCA